RNAcentral lists this ribosomal RNA (441 nucleotides) under uncultured Caldilinea sp. Its description in RNAcentral is "bacterial SSU rRNA". It matches the Rfam family "Bacterial small subunit ribosomal RNA", at positions 338 to 795 of the family's 1533-position model. The record is from RNAcentral. Lineage: Bacteria; Bacillati; Chloroflexota; Caldilineae; Caldilineales; Caldilineaceae.
CCUACGGGGGGCUGCAGUGAGGAAUAUUGGGCAAUGGGCGGAAGCCUGACCCAGCAACGCCGCGUGGAGGAAGACGGCCUUCGGGUUGUAAACUCCUUUUACGGGGGAAGAGGAAGGACGGUACCCCGAGAAUAAGUCACGGCUAACUACGUGCCAGCAGCCGCGGUAAUACGUAGGUGACAAGCGUUAUCCGGAAUUACUGGGCGUAAAGCGCACGCAGGCGGCGCAUUAAGUCUGACGUGAAAUCUCCCGGCUUAACUGGGAGGGGUCGUUGGAAACUGAUGUGCUUGAGGCGGUGAGAGGGGUGUAGAAUUCCCGGUGUAGUGGUGGAAUGCGUAGAUAUCGGGAGGAAUACCAGUGGCGAAAGCGGCACCCUGGCACUAGCCUGACGCUCAUGUGCGAAAGCGUGGGGAGCGAACGGGAUUAGAUACCCCAGUAGUC